Molecule: long non-coding RNA, 1202 nt
Filed under: Homo sapiens (human)
Lineage: Eukaryota; Metazoa; Chordata; Mammalia; Primates; Hominidae
Description: HSALNT0033782
Source: RNAcentral
UUCCACAAUAAAUCUAUUUCGCUUUUGUAAUAAGAAACAGAUUAAUUUCUUUCAGAAGGAAAAGCAGUGAGAAUGGUUUGGUUGGUUACAGAGCUACAGGAAUGAGAGGUGGGAGAGUUUCUCUUCCUUUGUGGGUAGAGAUGAUUAGGGGGUCGUGGAGAGUGAAGUUUGAACAUCAACUGUUUGCACUGGUGCACCAGGGCAGGCAGGAAUCAGAGGCUGUCUGGGCCAAUCUCACUGCCUGGACACAGGCGCCUCAGUGUGAACCGGGGCCUGUGAUGGGCCGAUACUGCUCGUUCCUGGAACAAGGGCCCUGUGUCUUCCACUGUCCAACACAAAGGACAGAGUUCCCCUGUUUACUUUGGAUUAGAAAUGUUCAAAUGAAGGACAGCAACAACAUUUGAGUUUUUCCUCUUUUCAGUUUCUUACAAAAAAACAAAUUGUAGUAAGUCAGAGAUUUUUUUGGCAUCUUCGGUGAAUAAAAUCAAUCAGACUAGAUCGCUGAAGGAGUCUUAAAGAGCUUCCCUUGUUUACUAUGUUUUUUAGAUUUAUGGCUUAAAGCUUAAGAAGUAGCAGUGACUGACUAGGCCUCUGAAUUGUCCAUUCAUUUCCCAAGAAAUGAGGCAUUCCCAAUUCCUUGGUCAGUUGGGCGAAGUGACCUUUGACCUUUGGCAAUAAGCUCAUUCUAGGCUGGAAGUAAUCACAUAAUUAUGGAAACACUCCUUCCUUUUGUCCAACCUCCCACACACUUCGAAAUACUCCUUUCCUUUCAGAUGCUCAUUCAAAACCCCCCUCAAUUAGACCUGCUAAGACAUAGAGUUUGUAUCAGACAUAGAAGUCUUUAAAUCAUCAAAGUCUAAGUGGUCCCAUGUUGAAAGACUGUGCCUAACACUAUAGGGAAUAAGACCUUGAAUACCAUGGUGCCUUCACCUAUGCUCUGAAACUGCACCUCAGAUCUGAGAAAAAUGUGCCCGCCUGGUCCUUGACUUAGAUAUCACUAAAGAUCUGGCCAUCAGCCUCUUCCUGAUGCCAGACACAAGUCAGGAGGUGAAGCUACUAAUGUUAUCCCCAAUUUAAAGAUGUGAAAACUGAGACUCACGGAAACUAGGUGACUUGUCUAGGGUCACACAGCCAGGAAACGUCAAGGUGAGAAUUUGAACCCUGGCCUUCUGAACUUGAGAUCCAGGGCCUGGCACAGAGUG